Molecule: ribosomal RNA, 562 nt
Filed under: Elaphomyces asperulus
Lineage: Eukaryota; Fungi; Ascomycota; Eurotiomycetes; Eurotiales; Elaphomycetaceae
Description: SSU rRNA
Rfam family: Bacterial small subunit ribosomal RNA
Source: RNAcentral
GAUAUUAGUCAAUGGCCUAAAGGCUGAACCAGUAACUUGGAAGAAUGUAAAUGUAUUAAUUAUUAAUACAAUAACGAUUAAUUCGUAUAAAAUUCUAAAUAGAAUAAUGAUAAUGACAAUUUUCUAUUUAUAAGUCUUGACCAAAUUACGUGCCAGCAGUCGCGGUAAUACGUAAAAGACUAGUGUUAGUCAUCUUUAUUAGGUUUAAAGGGUACCUAGACGGUAAAUUAAACUCUUAUUGAGUAUCUUUUUACUAGAGUUUUAUAAGAGAAGGAAGAAUUUUUGGAGUAGUGAUAAAAUACUUUUAUACCAAAAAGACUGAUAACGGCGAAGGCAUCCUUCUAUGUAAAAACUGACGUUGAGGGACGAAGGCUUGGGUAGCAAUAAGGAUUAGAUACCCUAGUAGUCCAAGCAGAAAAUGAUGAAUGUCAUAAACUAGAUAAUUAAUUUAGUAUAUAAAUGAAAGUGUAAGCAUUCCACCUCAAGAGUAAUAUGGCAACAUAUAAACUGAAAUCAUUAGACCGUUUCUGAAACCAGUAGUGAAGUAUGUUAUUUAAUUCGA